GUGGAAUAUGAGCCUAGGAUAGUUCCUCCCACCGUGUUUUACAGUUGAAGUGGAGAUCUGGAGUGGAGAGGCAGCUGCCAAAUUACUAAUUAGCACUCUGAUAAAUACAUCUGCAUUUUUAAGAUUUCAUUUUUAUCAGUGUGAAAAAUAAAAUGGAUAUACAGAAAGCCUGCAAGGAAACCUGAUAUAUCAUCAGGGAAAAACUUGACAGCCUGGUUUCCUAGGAAGACGCAGCAAACCUCUGUCCUUGUGCAGUGACUGUGCUUGGCCAUUCUCUCCUCCCUCAAGUACUCCCAUCCAAACAGAAAAGAGCCACUGAAGUCUGAGAGCUAGCCACAACCCCAGAUGUUACACAAAGGGCAGUAUCUGAGCUGAAGGAUGGAGAAAAAAAGGAUGGUUGGAGGUUGCUAUGAUGCAUCCAUUUUGGCAGCAGUCAAAUGAACAUUGUGUGCAUCAUUGAGCUGGCAGCCACUGUACGGAUGUCCCUUGCCCAAAGGCAUGCUGCAGGCGACAUGGAAGGAUGAAACAGGAGGCCUCCCCAUGCCUGGUGCUCCACUGUGCUGCUUGUCCCUCCACACUGCUGCCAUCAUUCACAUCUCCUCUGGUGUUCUUUACAUAUGUACUCAGAUCAAGCAGAGGUUUCCAUGUGAG
This 651-nucleotide long non-coding RNA is filed under the name Numida meleagris (helmeted guineafowl). RNAcentral's name for it is "lncRNA (ENSNMEG00000019221.1)". The record is from RNAcentral. Lineage: Eukaryota; Metazoa; Chordata; Aves; Galliformes; Numididae.